ACACUGCUGAGGAGUCCCAUAAUAGGACGAAACGGCCGUCCAGUU
This 45-nucleotide non-coding RNA is filed under the name Schistosoma mansoni. Lineage: Eukaryota; Metazoa; Platyhelminthes; Trematoda; Strigeidida; Schistosomatidae. The record is from RNAcentral.